RNAcentral lists this ribosomal RNA (307 nucleotides) under uncultured bacterium. RNAcentral describes it as "partial 16S ribosomal RNA". It matches the Rfam family "Bacterial small subunit ribosomal RNA", at positions 506 to 809 of the family's 1533-position model. The record is from RNAcentral.
AGACAGCAGCAGCCGCGGUAAUACGUAGGUGGCAAGCGUUGUCCGGAAUUAUUGGGCGUAAAGGGCUCGCAGGCGGUUUCUUAAGUCUGAUGUGAAAGCCCCCGGCUCAACCGGGGAGGGUCGUUGGAAACUGGGAAACUUGAGUGCAGAAGAGGAGAGUGGAAUUCCACGUGUAGCGGUGAAAUGCGUAGAGAUGUGGAGGAACACCAGUGGCGAAGGCGACUCUCUGGUCUGUAACUGACGCUGAGGAGCGAAAGCGUGGGGAGCGAACAGGAUUAGAGACCCCCGUAGUCCCUGUCUCUUAUAU